This 494-nucleotide ribosomal RNA is filed under the name uncultured bacterium. Its description in RNAcentral is "bacterial SSU rRNA". It matches the Rfam family "Bacterial small subunit ribosomal RNA", at positions 28 to 507 of the family's 1533-position model. The record is from RNAcentral.
GAUGAACGCUAGCGGCAGGCUUAAUACAUGCAAGUUGAGGGGCAGCAUGAUAUACGCGAGUAUAUUGAUGGCGACCGGCGGACGGGUGAGUAAUAGGUAGGAGACCUACCUCAUACAGGGGGAUAGCAUAGAGAAAUCUGUGGUAAUACCCCAUGAGGUUAUAUGAAUAGAGGCAUAUAAUCAAAGCAUAAGCGAUUAUGCGGUAUGAGAGGGGCCUACUGACCAUUAGCUAGUUGGUGAGGUAAGGGCUCACCAAGGCGAAGAUGGUUAGGGGUUUUGAGAGAGAGACCCCCCACAUUGGAACUGAGAGACGGUCCAGACUCCUACGGGAGGCAGCAGUAGGGAAUAUUGGGCAAUGGGCGAAAGCCUGACCCAGCCAUGCCGCGUGAAGGAAGACGGCCUUAUGGGUUGUAAACUUCUUUACUACGCGAAUAGAGGUUAGUACGAGAUACUAAUAGGAAGGUAGUGUAGUAAAAGCACCGGCUAACUCCGUG